AUUAAGAAAUGGAUUAGCAAAACCCUAACUAGAUAAUUAUGUAUAAUUGAGGAAAUUAUAUUAUUAUAUAAUUUAAUAUAUGUGAUUUUAUAUGAAUUUUAAUAUAUUAAAGACCCCGUUGGUGAGCCAGGGGCAUUUUGGUAAUUAUGACCCGAGAAGGGUAAAUUGUUGAGAUUAAAUUAAUUACGUGCUUAAUAGAACUAUAUUAUUAUAUAGUAUACCUGUGUUGUCUUUUCAGGUGUGUUCUGACAGGUUGGCGCGGUAUAGUCACAACCGGGUAUUUCGGGCCGAACUGGGUUCGGGCCCGAAAUGUAAAUUGGAUUAAUUUAUUUGGCAUUAUAAUUUAUGGGUGAUAAUCUGAAUUUUUAUUUGAAAAUUAUUGAGUAUGAAUUUACUAGAAUACCCUUGUGUAUGUGUGUGCAUGCUUUAUAGCCCUAAGGGCAAAAUGGUCAUUUUGACCUUUAUGAUAUUUUUGAUAAAAGGGUUGAAUUUUAAAGAAAAGAAAAAGGAAAUUAAAUAUUGUUUGCUUCACUCUUUGCUUCAGCCGACCCCUUUUUCUCUCUAUCCCUAAAUCUAUUUUUUUUUCCAAACUUUGAUUUUCUUGUGGGAAAUUAGCUUUAUUUGGUGCUACCUUUGGAGCUUGAUACUUUGAAGAUUGUUGAGCUUAGCUUGGAUUUGAAUUGAGGAUUACCGGCACCUGGUCAGGAGCACCCGGGGAUUUGGAAUCUCUACUAUUGCGGGACAACAGGAAAGGGUAAGGCAUUAGCUGAUCAGCCAUGAGUUUCAGGAGCAGGGCGAAGAAUGUACAUGUUCAUGCCACUUCAGACCAAGCGGGUUAUGGGUCUAACAGUGUUGACUUUUGUAUUCUGUUUUGCCGCUUAGGUUGGCUAGUAAGAAAGAACUUGUAAUAAGUUUGUAAAUAUUUUUGGGAUCCCAACUAUUUUGAAAAGUUUAAAUAUAUUACAAGUUUAUUUACAGUCUAUUUAAUAUAAAAGUUUAAAUUCUGCGCUAUUUUAAUUAGUAAUCCCGGUUAGGGGAUUAGGGCUUCAUAAGUAUUUUGGGUA
Cannabis sativa is the source of this 1064-nucleotide long non-coding RNA. RefSeq lists it as uncharacterized. The transcript is spliced from 3 exons. The record is from RefSeq and is a predicted model, not a curated record. Lineage: Eukaryota; Viridiplantae; Streptophyta; Magnoliopsida; Rosales; Cannabaceae.